AAUUAUACACUGAGGCAAUUGAUGGCUCCUACAUAGAGACUAAGGAGAAUGCCUUAAUAUGGCACUAUCAAGAUGCUGACAUUGAUUUUAGAUCCCGCCAGGUAACGAAGUUGCUGAAUCUCGUUGAUUGAGGGUAAAUUUCUGAUUCUGAGCAAUUCGAUACGCCUAGAGAAUGAGAAGUUAUUUCAGUAAAUUGAAUGUUGGAGAAUCAAUUAAAAACACGAGUACUCAGUUGAGGAAAAUGUCUGUGCAAGUUGACAACAGAAAACAGAACUCAAAUGUUAAUGUAAGAGAAAUUGUUCAUACACAUUUCCAGAUCAGAAGCUGAAAUUGCCUUUCUGCCCGCAUUCCCUCUCUUCCGCCAUGGUGAAGUACCCUUAGAAUGAUAACGGUGGUCCUGCUUUCUCCAAUGUAAUAAAUCAAAAUGACUUCUCAUCACUCUCUGAAUCUGAAUUAGAAGAAAUAUUGGAAGACAUCAGUUGGAGUGUACCAAUAUGGUUUGGGUUGUGAUGGCAGUAAUAUGAGAAUAGAAACUUUCGGAAGAGAUGGCAAUGAAAUUCGCUUCUCCACAUUUGUUUUGAGUGAAAUGAGUUUGCUGACAGUGACACCUAAUGCCAGUAUGCAGAAUUCUAUUUCAGCAACCUAUAAAAUCAUCCUCAGGCAACCCUAGCAAUCCAGUAAAAAACAGUCCCAAACUCCACUCCAUCAUGGUUACCUUGCUACAUACACCUUCUCCCUUACUUACCUCUUUGAUUGAGAAUUUACUGUUUUAAAUUGAAUUUCAAAACCAUUGUUCAACUAAACAUUCCCAACUUUGAAAAAUCCAUCUUAGAAGCAUCUAGGUAUGAAAUCCCA
Molecule: long non-coding RNA, 855 nt
Filed under: Vitis vinifera (wine grape)
Lineage: Eukaryota; Viridiplantae; Streptophyta; Magnoliopsida; Vitales; Vitaceae
Description: long non-coding RNA (VVIN_LNC002152)
Source: RNAcentral